UACAGGGGGUGCGAGCGUCAUUCGGAAUUAUUGGGCGUAAAGAGCGUGUAGGCGGUUUCUUAAGUCUGAUGUGAAAGCCCCGGUCUCAAGCCGGGAAGUGCAUCAGAUACUGGGAGACUAGAGUACAGGAGAGGUUGGCGGAAUUCCUGGUGUAGAGGUGAAAUUCAUAGAUAUCAGGAGGAACAACAGAGGCGAAGGCGGCCAACUGGACUGUAACUGACGCUAAGGCGCGAAAGCGUGGGGAGCAAACAGG
RNAcentral lists this ribosomal RNA (253 nucleotides) under uncultured bacterium. RNAcentral describes it as "partial 16S ribosomal RNA". It matches the Rfam family "Bacterial small subunit ribosomal RNA", at positions 524 to 776 of the family's 1533-position model. The record is from RNAcentral.